UGGACUGCAAUUCCCAGUGUCUCUCACAAUAUACUCACUUGAUGCAGGCGGGGGCAGAUUGGCCUGGUUGCCUUGACGAGUGUCAAACAGGAUGACUGAUGAAUUUGGAACGGGCCUUGGUAUUUGAUUUGGAUCAAUUUUUGAUUGUGUAGCUGCAGGAGAACCGGUUUGACCAAUGGCAGCUGAGAUGGUAGUCAUCGAUUGGUUAGGUGGAGGUGGCGGCAUCCCAAACAUUCUAGGCGGCUGCAUUUGACCAGAAAUAGGUGGAGGAGCUGUUGCCUGACCAGGUUGCAUUGGCCAUGUUGGUGGUCCAAAUGCGGAACCUGAAGAUGGGGAUACUCCUUGAGAUGCCGGCUGAAAUGGUGAUGCCGGUUGUCCGGGAGGACCUGGUGGAGCAGAAAAUUCAGGGCCACCUGGAACAGAAUGCAUAAAUGGAGCCCGGGCAGAUGUUGUCAUUGGUGGUGGACCAACAAAUGGCGGAGGACCUUGUGGUGCAUUGACUGCUGAAGGAAAACGUGGCCCACCAGGGAAGUUCUGCACAAAAGCUGGAGGACCAUUACUCAACGUACCACUCUGAGCAUUUGGUGGAGGCAUGCUGGGGCUACUAACAGAAGGGGGAAAGGCUGCAUUUGGACGUGCACCAAGUGGAGGAGCACCAAAUGGAGGCGUAACUGAACUACUGGACAAACCUGGGGAAACAACAACGCUAGAAGGUG
RNAcentral lists this unclassified non-coding RNA (716 nucleotides) under Hevea brasiliensis (rubber tree). Lineage: Eukaryota; Viridiplantae; Streptophyta; Magnoliopsida; Malpighiales; Euphorbiaceae. The record is from RNAcentral.